This 114-nucleotide ribosomal RNA is filed under the name Erysipelotrichaceae bacterium. Its description in RNAcentral is "partial 23S ribosomal RNA". It matches the Rfam family "Bacterial large subunit ribosomal RNA", at positions 2807 to 2925 of the family's 2925-position model. Lineage: Bacteria; Bacillati; Bacillota; Erysipelotrichia; Erysipelotrichales; Erysipelotrichaceae. The record is from RNAcentral. RNAcentral also lists the same sequence under 1 other name.
AGACUUCUCAUUCGAAAGAAGUAAGACCCCUCUAAUGUUAAGAGGUUGAUAGGUCAGAGAUGUAAGUGCAGCGAUGCAUUCAGUCGACUGAUACUAAUAGGUCGAGGACUUAAU